UAAGUCUCUUUUCUCCACUGCUGCUUGUUUGUGAUCUGUUUCAGGUAAGUCUCAGCCUCCUGCUGCUGUCUCAGUUCCCCCUCUGUGCAGCAGGGACAUGUCCCUGCAGCAGCGCAGUGUGCACGUGAGAUGCUGUGCUGACUCAGAGACAGGGUACCCAAGUAAGCCUACCUGCCUCUGCUAGGCUGGGUGCUGUAGGAGAGUCAGCCAGAACAGUGAGAAAAUUAAACUGCAACUUCAUCAGCGAAAGGGAAUGUGAUCUCCAGCACUGGCAAAUUGAGUUCUGGACUGAUGCAAACACAGACCUUGAUGCAUGUGCUGGACAGUGGUGUGACAGCCUUUUCUUCACUUGAUCUGCAACUCUCACGAUAUGAAAGGAGACUGUACAGUUCUCUUCAGUUCUGAAGGCCUCUGAGCUGGCUGUCACAAAGGCAGGGCACAAAAAGACCCCUCUCCAAGGUAGAGAAGAUAGCUGUAAACUUUAGACUUUUCUGGUGCAAUGAUCUACUGAAAAGCUCCAGGUGGCUGAGGAGGUGAAGAGGAGAUGCUCUGCAGGAUCUGAUUUUCACAAACGAAGAUGAACUGGCUGGGAAUCACAGAAUCAUUAGGUUGGAAGAGACCUUCAAGAUCAUCGAGU
Non-coding RNA from Sturnus vulgaris (Common starling), 637 nucleotides. Lineage: Eukaryota; Metazoa; Chordata; Aves; Passeriformes; Sturnidae. The record is from RefSeq and is a predicted model, not a curated record.